RNAcentral lists this ribosomal RNA (206 nucleotides) under uncultured bacterium. RNAcentral's name for it is "partial 16S ribosomal RNA". It matches the Rfam family "Bacterial small subunit ribosomal RNA", at positions 1287 to 1500 of the family's 1533-position model. The record is from RNAcentral.
CUCAGUUCGGAUCGGAGUCUGCAACCCGACUCCGUGAAGCUGGAUUCGCUAGUAAUCGCGCAUCAGCCACGGCGCGGUGAAUACGUUCCCGGGCCUUGUACACACCGCCCGUCAAGCCAUGGAAGCCGGGAGUGCCUGAAGUGCGUGAGCGCAAGCAGCGCCCUAAGGUAAAACCGGUGACUGGGGCUAAGUCGUAACAAGGUAAC